UCUACAGGAUCUUAAACACUGUGCUGCUGCCACAUGAUGAGCUGAUUGGAUAACUGAAUGAAUGAAGUGUACAGAUGGCCCUGUGGAUAAAAUUCAGGGUAACACCUACCUGGGCAAAGGCACAGCAGCGUUAGAAAGGACAGCAGUGGGUCAAGUUUCUCCCAAGUUCGGCUCUCCAUUUCUCCGCAGCAAAAGUCCCUCUGUCCCUCUUUUCCUUCUGUUUUAAUGUCCUCGUUUCUUGGAGUCCUCCAACCUUGUUAUCUACAAAUAAUUUGCUUUCGGCGACAAGUGGCUCUCUUCCUGUGGGACUCCGCGCUGUUGAACAGGUCCGCUGCUCAGUGCGGGGAGCGGCAGUAAAAUAGAUACAGGUAUAUAUAAAUGUUUGAAUCCUCAGUGAAAAAGUCGACAGCGAGCCCCAAACUGUUAUCCACGCACUCAGAAACAAAUAAACUGCAGCUCUGUUCUAAUGGUGUAAUGUGUGUGUUUUUUUUCUUUAUCCUUGCAAGCCAGGAGAUACGAUAAAGCGGAGUUGAUAAGUGCAGUUACAGUGAGAGUAAAUGUUCCUGCGCUCUGUGGACGAGAGAAACGCUGCACCUGCCUACUGAGGCCACGCCCCCGAGUAGCUGACGACAUCAAAGUCCGCCUCUGCUACAGCAGACAGCUCCUGACUGCACCAGUCCUCUUGAGGGUAAUCCUCCAUCGUGCUGCCAUCCGACUCCAUCUCCUGAUAGAGGCCGCUGCUGUUUAUCAGCACAGGCUGGCAGCUCUGAGAGUCCCAGCCACCCUGGC
Long non-coding RNA from Silurus meridionalis, 789 nucleotides. RefSeq lists it as uncharacterized. NCBI's taxonomy places the organism in Eukaryota, Metazoa, Chordata, Actinopteri, Siluriformes, Siluridae. The transcript is spliced from 3 exons. The record is from RefSeq and is a predicted model, not a curated record.